Balaenoptera musculus (blue whale) is the source of this 1313-nucleotide long non-coding RNA. RefSeq lists it as uncharacterized. Lineage: Eukaryota; Metazoa; Chordata; Mammalia; Artiodactyla; Balaenopteridae. The record is from RefSeq and is a predicted model, not a curated record. The transcript has 4 exons.
AAGAAGAAAAGAGUUGCCCCCGAGAUCGGACACUGGAGAGCAGGCGUCUUCUGUCGCGUAAAGUAAGGCCGAUCUCCGGCCACCCGGCGAGGCGGAUGACAACAGCGUCCUUGUAGGCAGGCUGGCUGGAGUGUCGGGCUUCAGGAGACGCGGAGGGGAACCGGAGUAGAGAUAUACGAGCUCUUUGAAAGCAGAACACUGUUGUUUCCAUGUUCUGAUCAUUCAGAGAUUAUGAAGGCACAGUUCCUGCCUUUUAUUUGCUUACAGUCAAGCGGAGUAGACACAGGUCAUGGUGGCAGUAUAGCCCCUUAAGUAUUCUGAAGGAGUGAAUGGAUUAUAUUCUUGUCUCCAGUCCAGUCUGUUUGAAUAUACGGACAUCUCGUAAGCUGCUUUCAAAGAGACCCACAUUUAGGCUUAGGAAUGAGCACAGGGGAGACAGCAAGAAUGCCACAUCAUGGUGAAUUGUGCUGGGGGCAGCUGCCACUGUGUGAGCCACGUAAGAUUUUAACACAUUUUGGAGGAUGAGAAGAGCAAACUGAUGACCAAGCACGUGCUUCAGAAAUUACUUUAUUGCAUGUGUACAAGUGAUUGCAUAUUGUUGUUUGAACCAGCAGGAAGUCAAUUAUUAAACAUACACUUUUCCAAAUGAAAGGCAGUUUAAUUUUACCAGAAACCAGUGUCAUUUUGUAUCCCAAGUCUCUAACCAGCUUUACAAUCUCAUCUAAUAAAGGUGCCUUAAAUUCUGAGUAUUUUGAAUUAUUAAACCGUGUUAGUUUACACCAGGAUUCUAUGGUGGUUUUACAUAUUCUCUUUCCCCUUUGUUAAGGUGGGGAAGCCAAAGAUUAUGUUAAUAACUUGCUCAAGAGUUAUAAAGUGAUAUAGGUAAAGCUAAGAAAAGAACAGAUUUUGGUAUCUUUUGCCCAGUAUGAGGGAUUGUGGCUACAAUGGUCUGAUUUUUUUAAAAAAAAUCUUUUUCUGUUUUGUUUUUUAACAGAUUUAUCAGCAGGUUGCAGGUGAACAUGGCCUUGAGGUAAAUCCUGCCCCUUAUUGAAAUUUAGUUCCAGCAGAUUGUUCUUGGCAUUUUAAGGAAUUAGAAUAUUUUACAAAAAACAAAAGUUUUGUUUUGGUUCUUUUCUAGACUUUUUUUUUCUUGUGGAAGAUGAGAAACAUGUUUAAAGAAGGGUUCUUCAUGCUGAAUAAUUGUGAUGCUUGAAGUUGGUCAUCUGCCUUAUUUAGAUUAAGUGGAUUUUAAAAAUCAAAGCUAUUUCUACACCAUUUUUUUCUUGAUCAAAUAAAAUUUUAUUAGAACCUUA